This 501-nucleotide ribosomal RNA is filed under the name uncultured bacterium. RNAcentral's name for it is "partial 16S ribosomal RNA". It matches the Rfam family "Bacterial small subunit ribosomal RNA", at positions 392 to 908 of the family's 1533-position model. The record is from RNAcentral.
CGACGYCGCGUGGGGGANGAAGGCCUUNGGGUUGUAAACCYCUUUUCCGAGGGAAGANAANGGACGGUACCUUGGGAAUAANCCCCGGCUAACUACNUGCCAGCAGCCGCGGUAAUACGUAGGGGGCAAGCGUUACCCGGAAUNAUUGGGCGUAANGUGCNCGUAGGCGGUUGGAUAAUUCUCUUGUGAAANCUCCCGGCUCAACUGGNAGAGGUCAAGGGAUACUAUUCGACUAGAGGACAGCAGAGGUAAGCAGAAUUCCCGGUGUAGCGGUGGAAUGCGNANAUAUCGGGAGGAACACCAGCGGCGAANGCGGCUUACUGGGCUGUAUCUGACGCUGAGGCGCGANAGCGUGGGGAGCAAACUGGAUUAAAUACCCNGGUAGUCCACGCCCUAAACGAUGGAUACUANGUAUGGGGGGUAUUGACCCCCUCCGUGCCGUANCUAACGCGUUAAGUAUCCCGCCUGGGGACUACNGCCGCGAGGCUAAAACUCAAAUGA